UACGAAGGGGGCUAGCGUUGUUCGGAAUUACUGGGCGUAAAGGGUGCGUAGGCGGCGGAGUAAGUUGGGUGUGAAAUCCCGGGGCUCAACCUCGGAAUUGCAUUCAAUACUGCUUCGCUCGAGUACUGGAGAGGAGACUGGAAUUUACGGUGUAGCAGUGAAAUGCGUAGAUAUCGUAAGGAAGGCCGGUGGCGAAAGCGAGUCUCUGGACAGUUACUGACGCUGAUGCACGAAGGCCAGGGGAGCAAACGGG
Molecule: ribosomal RNA, 253 nt
Filed under: uncultured bacterium
Lineage: Bacteria
Description: partial 16S ribosomal RNA
Rfam family: Bacterial small subunit ribosomal RNA
Source: RNAcentral